GACAUUUGGUGUUGAAGGGCCGCGGUAUUAUGACCGUGCAAAGGUAGCAUAAUCAUUAGUUCUUUAAUUGUGAUCUGGAAUGAAUGGCUUGACGAGGCACGGGCUGUCUUAGUGUUGAAUGUUUUAUUGAAUUUGGUCUUUGAGUUAAAAUUCUUAGAUGUUUUUGUGGGACGAGAAGACCCUAUAGAGUUUGACAUUUGGUUUAUUUACUUGUUUGUUGUUUGUUUAUUUUUGGUGAGUGGGCUUUUUGUUUUGUUGGGGUGAUGGGAGGAAUGUACUUAACUCCUCUUAGUUUUGGUUAUAUUGAUUUAUAAU
This 315-nucleotide ribosomal RNA is filed under the name Coptotermes gestroi. RNAcentral describes it as "partial 16S ribosomal RNA". The record is from RNAcentral. Lineage: Eukaryota; Metazoa; Arthropoda; Insecta; Blattodea; Rhinotermitidae.